Molecule: non-coding RNA, 106 nt
Organism: Xylariaceae sp. FL0255
Lineage: Eukaryota; Fungi; Ascomycota; Sordariomycetes; Xylariales; Xylariaceae
Source: the annotation of a GenBank genome assembly
GGCUCUUUGGCGCAAUGGUAGCGCGUGGUCCUCCUACUUCGUGCGUUUGGUAGCUUACGCUGUGGUUGUGAGACUGAGGUUGUGGGUUCGAGUCCCAUGAGGGUCG